RNAcentral lists this ribosomal RNA (254 nucleotides) under uncultured bacterium. RNAcentral describes it as "partial 16S ribosomal RNA". It matches the Rfam family "Bacterial small subunit ribosomal RNA", at positions 524 to 777 of the family's 1533-position model. The record is from RNAcentral.
UACGAAGGGGGCUAGCGUUGCUCGGAAUCACUGGGCGUAAAGGGUGCGUAGGCGGGUCUUUAAGUCAGGGGUGAAAUCCUGGAGCUCAACUCCAGAACUGCCUUUGAUACUGAAGAUCUUGAGUUCGGGAGAGGUGAGUGGAACUGCGAGUGUAGAGGUGAAAUUCGUAGAUAUUCGCAAGAACACCAGUGGCGAAGGCGGCUCACUGGCCCGAUACUGACGCUGAGGCACGAAAGCGUGGGGAGCAAACGGGG